This 78-nucleotide ribosomal RNA is filed under the name Finegoldia magna. The record is from RNAcentral. Lineage: Bacteria; Bacillati; Bacillota; Tissierellia; Tissierellales; Peptoniphilaceae.
CCGAACACAGAAGUUAAGCCUCUUAACGCCGAUGGUACUACGAUGGAAACGUCGUGGGAGAGUAGGUAGUCGCCAAAC